This 274-nucleotide ribosomal RNA is filed under the name uncultured bacterium. RNAcentral describes it as "partial 16S ribosomal RNA". It matches the Rfam family "Bacterial small subunit ribosomal RNA", at positions 523 to 796 of the family's 1533-position model. The record is from RNAcentral.
AUACGGAGGGUGCAAGCGUUAAUCGGAAUUACUGGGCGUAAAGCGUACGUAGGCGGUUCGUUAAGUUAGAUGUGAAAGCCCCGGACUUAACCUGGGAACUGCAUUUAAAACUGGCGAACUAGAGUUGAGUAGAGGGGAGUGGAAUUUCAGGUGUAGCGGUGAAAUGCGUAGAGAUCUGAAGGAACACCAGUGGCGAAGGCGACUCCCUGGACUCGAACUGACGCUGAGGUACGAAAGCGUGGGUAGCAAACGGAAUUAGAAACCCUAGUAGUCC